Molecule: ribosomal RNA, 275 nt
Filed under: uncultured bacterium
Lineage: Bacteria
Description: partial 16S ribosomal RNA
Rfam family: Bacterial small subunit ribosomal RNA
Source: RNAcentral
GCGUGAGUGAAGAAGGCCUUAGGGUUGUAAAACUCUUUCGGCAGGGAAGAUAAUGACGGUACCUGCAGAAGAAGCUCCGGCUAACUCCGUGCCAGCAGCCGCGGUAAUACGGAGGGGGCAAGCGUUGCUCGGAAUUACUGGGCGUAAAGCGAGCGUAGGCGGUUAAUCAAGUUGGUGGUGAAAGCCCAGAGCUUAACUCUGGAACUGCCAUCAAAACUGAUUGACUUGAGAUUGGUAGAGGAAAAUGGAAUUCCUAGUGUAGAGGUGAAAUUCGU